AAAUCCAGUUUUUGGUUAUUAGAAUUCAUUGGUUCAGAGAAGUCUGGCAGGAUGCAUAGAAAUUUCCCUCUCAGUUUAGGACAGCUGUCCUAAAAAUAGGUUUGGCUUUAUAGAAGACAAU
This 121-nucleotide small nucleolar RNA is filed under the name Catagonus wagneri (Chacoan peccary). Its description in RNAcentral is "Small Cajal body specific RNA 11 (ENSCWAG00000017255.1)". It matches the Rfam family "Small Cajal body specific RNA 11". From Rfam's summary of the family: scaRNAs are a specific class of small nuclear RNAs which localise to the Cajal bodies and guide the modification of RNA polymerase II transcribed spliceosomal RNAs U1, U2, U4, U5 and U12. ACA57 belongs to the H/ACA box class of guide RNAs as it has the predicted hairpin-hinge-hairpin-tail structure, conserved H/ACA-box motifs and is found associated with GAR1. Lineage: Eukaryota; Metazoa; Chordata; Mammalia; Artiodactyla; Tayassuidae. The record is from Rfam by way of RNAcentral.